GUGCUCACUUCGGCAGCAUAUAUACUAAAAUUGGAACAAUACAGAGAAGAUUAGUAUGGCCACUACACAAGGAUGACAUGCAAGUUUGUGAAGCGUUGCAUAUUUAA
This is a small nuclear RNA of Erinaceus europaeus (western European hedgehog), 107 nucleotides long. NCBI's taxonomy places the organism in Eukaryota, Metazoa, Chordata, Mammalia, Eulipotyphla, Erinaceidae. The record is from Ensembl.